RNAcentral lists this long non-coding RNA (362 nucleotides) under Lathyrus oleraceus (garden pea). RNAcentral's name for it is "Pisum sativum (pea) long non-coding RNA (PSAT_LNC012530)". The record is from RNAcentral. Lineage: Eukaryota; Viridiplantae; Streptophyta; Magnoliopsida; Fabales; Fabaceae.
UUGAAUUCACUUGGUCGUAACGACUCUGAAUCCAUUCAGCAUCAGUCAACUUGGGACUUCGAGGGUGCUAUUUUUCUUUUGUUUCUUUCUUUCUUUUUCUUUCUUUUGAUUAUUGAUUUCGAUUUCUUUUGAUUUCUUUUGAUUGAUUUUUUUUUGCACCCUCCUCUUUCCAUUUUUUUUCUUUUUUUUUCUUUCAAUGCCCCAGUUGGCUGUUCUGCUGAUUCUCGAGAUGCAGCCGAGUGAUCUUCUUUUCUUGCUCAAGAAGUCGGGAAAUCUUGUCAGGAAUCCCUUCAACAUCCUCUUCUUCCGUUUCGAAUACAGGGAAUUCAAAAUUGGGAGAUGACGUCCGAUCAUUAUGUUCA